Amaranthus tricolor (Joseph's coat) is the source of this 1373-nucleotide RNA transcript. It is a transcript of the gene named cold-regulated protein 27-like, with no coding region annotated. The record is from RefSeq and is a predicted model, not a curated record. Lineage: Eukaryota; Viridiplantae; Streptophyta; Magnoliopsida; Caryophyllales; Amaranthaceae. The transcript is spliced from 5 exons.
AUGACACAGAACUAACACGUGUAAAAGUGUUGCCAACUGGUUUGCUCUUUUUGUACCAAUUCUCUUCUCUCCCCCAUUUCCCUUCCAAGUUCAUCCUCUCUUUCUCCUUCCAAUUUCUUCUCUUUCGCUAUUUUUUCUUCAAAUCAAUCUGCUUUAACCUUUCAUGGCGGAUACUUCCGUUAGUUCACAAUCAUAUGAAGUUACUGGACCCGAUCUUUCUUCUUUUCUUCAACAGGAUCAUGAAAUUUGCAGCCUAGAAUUCUUGGAAAAGGAAUAUAUGUCUACUGAAUGGACUGAUGAAAAGCAUAGUUUAUUUCUGAAGUCUAUUGAAACUUCAUUUGUACAUCAACUUUAUAGAUCAAUAAAUUCCAGUGGUUUGCACUCACAGUCACAGAGUAAACUUUCUUCACACAUGAGAUCAUCCAAGCAUAAAACAUCUCGUGCAGCUGAUCAGAGAAUGAAAUUAGAAAGAGGUGAGCCGCCCCCUCCGAAACCAGGAAAAUCUUGCAUCAUGUUGCAGAAUCCAUGGAAUCAUCAUUUUAAAAGCAAAGACGAUCUACCUAUUCCAGCAAGUUCUUCGUUUGGGAGUGAGCCAAUGAGCUUUGUGCAUACAUUGUCAAAUACAUCAGACAAUUUUCGUCUUUGUCAAACUACCAGAGACUCGAGCAUUGAAGACAAUUGGCUUGGAGGGAUAUGAUAUAUCCUUACAUAGAAGUUCAAUCUAUUGCAUGCUAUGCUGCCAUGCUGAUGCACUAGUUCAUAUGGCAAAACUGAAUGUGGACGGUUCGGAUGGCUAUUUCGUGAAUAAUGAUUCUGUACCUCUGGCCCACUUAAUAGAACACUCCGGCCAGAAUUUUGAUGAAGAAGAUGAUGAUGAGACGUUAUGCUGCAUGCACACAACUAAACGGAUGAAGAUAGUUGAAGCAGCGUCCAAAAACCAGGAGUAAAGAGCUCGGUGUUGUAUUGCUAGCUAAAACUGAGCUCACUUCCUGGUUGUUCAAUACGUGGAAUUUCUUUUCUCGGACAUUCUUCAGUGAAUGUGAGGUUUGUGAAUGAUAUACGUGCAAUCAGCAUGACUGAAUCUGACUAGCUGGUGCUAUCUAUUCAUUGAUUAGUUCAUUUUGUAAUCUCUUAUGGUGAUGAUUCUUAUAUCGAGAAAUAGUAGAAAAUAUUAGAUCAAGUGCUCUUUAGUCUGUAGUUAUACCGAGGUCUAUUAGUUAUGUAGUAAAACUAGCCGAUGGUGCUUAGUAUUGUUAUUAGUGACACCUGAUUAUAUAGCCGUUUCUGGGUUUCAUGAUCUGUGGUCGUUAUGUAGCCUGUUUUUUUGUACAAAUUAAGCUCAUAUGUUUAUGGGUAGCUGAGAUUGAUGGGAA